GCCCGGAUAGCUCAGUCGGUAGAGCAGGGGAUUGAAAAUCCCCGUGUNNCGAGUCCGGGCACCA
Molecule: transfer RNA, 64 nt
Filed under: Enterobacter cloacae
Lineage: Bacteria; Pseudomonadati; Pseudomonadota; Gammaproteobacteria; Enterobacterales; Enterobacteriaceae
Description: tRNA-Phe
Rfam family: tRNA
About the family: Transfer RNA (tRNA) molecules are approximately 80 nucleotides in length. Their secondary structure includes four short double-helical elements and three loops (D, anti-codon, and T loops). Further hydrogen bonds mediate the characteristic L-shaped molecular structure. tRNAs have two regions of fundamental functional importance: the anti-codon, which is responsible for specific mRNA codon recognition, and the 3' end, to which the tRNAs corresponding amino acid is attached (by aminoacyl-tRNA synthetases). tRNAs cope with the degeneracy of the genetic code in two manners: having more than one tRNA (with a specific anti-codon) for a particular amino acid; and 'wobble' base-pairing, i.e. permitting non-standard base-pairing at the 3rd anti-codon position.
Source: RNAcentral